This 1733-nucleotide ribosomal RNA is filed under the name Gallibacterium salpingitidis. RNAcentral describes it as "bacterial LSU rRNA". It matches the Rfam family "Bacterial large subunit ribosomal RNA", at positions 1223 to 2925 of the family's 2925-position model. Lineage: Bacteria; Pseudomonadati; Pseudomonadota; Gammaproteobacteria; Pasteurellales; Pasteurellaceae. The record is from RNAcentral.
GUUGGGUAGGGGAGCGUUGUGUAAGCCGAAGAAGGUGACUUGAGAGGGUUGCUGGAGGUAUCACAAGUGCGAAUGCUGACAUAAGUAACGAUAAAGCGGGUGAAAGGCCCGCUCGCCGGAAGACCAAGGUUUCCUGUCCAACGUUAAUCGGGGCAGGGUGAGUCGGCCCCUAAGGCGAGGCUGAAGAGCGUAGUCGAUGGGAAAUGGGUUAAUAUUCCCAUACUUGUUAGAUAAGCGAUGUAGGGACGGAGAAGGCUAGGCAAGCAGACGGACGGAAGGGUCUGUUCAAGCGUGUAGGUAGAUGGUGUAGGCAAAUCCGCACCAUUAAUGCUGAGGCGUGAUGAGGAGUAACUACGGUUGCGAAGUUGUUGAUGCCAAGCUUCCAGGAAAAGCUGCUAAGCACAUUAUCUAAUAAACCGUACUGAAAACCGACACAGGUGGUCAGGUAGAGAAUACUAAGGCGCUUGAGAGAACUCGGGUGAAGGAACUAGGCAAAAUAGCACCGUAACUUCGGGAGAAGGUGCGCUGGCGUAGUGUGAAGUCUGAACAGAUGGAGCAUGAACCAGUCGAAGAGACCUGCUGGCUGCAACUGUUUAAUAAAAACACAGCACUCUGCAAACACGCAAGUGGACGUAUAGGGUGUGACGCCUGCCCGGUGCUGGAAGGUUAAUUGAUGGUGUUAUUGAAAGAGAAGCACUUGAUCGAAGCCCCAGUAAACGGCGGCCGUAACUAUAACGGUCCUAAGGUAGCGAAAUUCCUUGUCGGGUAAGUUCCGACCUGCACGAAUGGCGUAAUGAUGGCCAGGCUGUCUCCACCCGAGACUCAGUGAAAUUGAAAUCGCCGUGAAGAUGCGGUGUACCCGCGGCUAGACGGAAAGACCCCGUGAACCUUUACUAUAGCUUGACACUGAACCUUGAAUUUUAAUGUGUAGGAUAGGUGGGAGACUGAGAGAUACUGACGCCAGUUGGUAAGGAGUCGAUGUUGAAAUACCACCCUUUAACGUUUGAUGUUCUAACGAGGUACCUGUAACGGGUAUUCGGACAGUGUCUGGUGGGUAGUUUGACUGGGGCGGUCUCCUCCCAAAGAGUAACGGAGGAGUACGAAGGUUUGCUAAUCACGGUCGGACAUCGUGAGGUUAGUACAAUGGUAGAAGCAAGCUUGACUGCGAGACGGACAAGUCGAGCAGGUACGAAAGUAGGUCAUAGUGAUCCGGUGGUUCUGAAUGGAAGGGCCAUCGCUCAACGGAUAAAAGGUACUCCGGGGAUAACAGGCUGAUACCGCCCAAGAGUUCAUAUCGACGGCGGUGUUUGGCACCUCGAUGUCGGCUCAUCACAUCCUGGGGCUGAAGUAGGUCCCAAGGGUAUGGCUGUUCGCCAUUUAAAGUGGUACGCGAGCUGGGUUUAGAACGUCGUGAGACAGUUCGGUCCCUAUCUGCCGUGGGCGAAGGAGAAUUGAGGGGGGCUGCUCCUAGUACGAGAGGACCGGAGUGGACGCACCGCUGGUGUUCCAGUUGUUUCGCCAGAAGCAUUGCUGGGUAGCUAAGUGCGGGAGAGAUAAGUGCUGAAAGCAUCUAAGCACGAAACUUGCCCCGAGAUGAGUUGUCCCAAUCGAGAGAUUGUAAGGGUUGUUGAAGACGACGACGUAGAUAGGUGGGGUGUGUAAGUGAUGUGAGUCAUUGAGCUAACCCAUACUAAUUGCCCGAGAGGCUUAACUAUACAACGCUGAAGGGUUUU